AAAGCUUUAAGUUAAAUAAACUAUUAACCUUCAAAGUUAAAAAUAUAUUAUGAUAUAAGCUUUA
RNAcentral lists this transfer RNA (64 nucleotides) under Megalotomus costalis. RNAcentral describes it as "tRNA-Trp". Lineage: Eukaryota; Metazoa; Arthropoda; Insecta; Hemiptera; Alydidae. The record is from RNAcentral.